CUUGGAGCAACAUUACAUUUUGG
This 23-nucleotide non-coding RNA is filed under the name Arabidopsis thaliana (thale cress). The record is from RNAcentral. Lineage: Eukaryota; Viridiplantae; Streptophyta; Magnoliopsida; Brassicales; Brassicaceae.